CGGACGGGUGAGUAAUGUCUGGGAAACUGCCCGGAUGAGGGGGAUAACUACUGGAAACGGUAGCUAAUACCGCAUAACGUCGCAAGACCAAAGAGGGGGACCUUCGGGCCUCUUGCCAUCGGAUGUGCCAGAUGGGAUUAGCUAGUAGGUGGGGUAACGGCUCACCUAGGCGACGAUCCCUAGCUGGUCUGAGAGGAUGACCAGCCACACUGGAACUGAGACACGGUCCAG
Molecule: ribosomal RNA, 231 nt
Filed under: uncultured bacterium
Lineage: Bacteria
Description: partial 16S ribosomal RNA
Rfam family: Bacterial small subunit ribosomal RNA
Source: RNAcentral